GCUGGGCAUGGUGGUGCAUGCCUGUAAUGCCAGCAGCUCGGGAGGCUGAGGCAGGAGAAAAGCAAGUUCAAAGCCAGUCCCAGCAACUGAGAAAGGCCUGAAGCAUCUCCAUGAGAUCCUGUCUCUA
Molecule: small RNA, 127 nt
Filed under: Marmota monax (woodchuck)
Lineage: Eukaryota; Metazoa; Chordata; Mammalia; Rodentia; Sciuridae
Source: RNAcentral